Molecule: ribosomal RNA, 872 nt
Filed under: uncultured bacterium
Lineage: Bacteria
Description: bacterial SSU rRNA
Rfam family: Bacterial small subunit ribosomal RNA
Source: RNAcentral
GAUGAACGCUAGCGGGAGGCUUAACACAUGCAAGUCGAGGGGCAGCACGGGGUAGCAAUACUCUGGUGGCGACCGGCGCACGGGUGAGUAACGCGUAUGUAACCUACCCUGUACAGGGGGAUAGCCCGGAGAAAUUCGGAUUAAUACCCCAUAAUUAUAUUGGAAGGCAUCUUUUGAUAUUUAAAGUUUCGACGGUAGGGGAUGGGCAUGCGUGACAUUAGCUAGUUGGUAGGGUAACGGCCUACCAAGGCUACGAUGUCUAGGGGUCCUGAGAGGGUGAUCCCCCACACUGGUACUGAGACACGGACCAGACUCCUACGGGAGGCAGCAGUGAGGAAUAUUGGUCAAUGGGCGCAAGCCUGAACCAGCCAUCCCGCGUGCAGGAAGAAGGCGCUAUGCGUCGUAAACUGCUUUUCCAGGGGAAGAAAACCCGAUACGUGUAUUGGCUUGCCGGUACCCUGGGAAUAAGCAUCGGCUAACUCCGUGCCAGCAGCCGCGGUGAUACGGAGGAUGCGAGCGUUAUCCGGAUUUAUUGGGUUUAAAGGGUGCGUAGGCGGAUUAAUAAGUCAGUGGUGAAAACCUUCAGCUUAACUGGAGACUUGCCAUUGAUACUGUUAGUCUUGAGUACGGUCAAGGUAGGCGGAAUGUGUAAUGUAGCGGUGAAAUGCUUAGAUAUUACACAGAACACCGAUUGCGAAGGCAGCUUACUGGGCCAUUACUGACGCUGAUGCACGAAAGCGUGGGGAGCGAACAGGAUUAGAUACCCUGGUAGUCCACGCCGUAAACGAUGAUCACUCGCUGUUAGCGAUACACAGUUAGCGGCUAAGCAAAAGCAUUAAGUGAUCCACCUGGGGAGUACGGCCGCAAGGCUG